RNAcentral lists this ribosomal RNA (930 nucleotides) under uncultured bacterium. RNAcentral describes it as "bacterial SSU rRNA". It matches the Rfam family "Bacterial small subunit ribosomal RNA", at positions 8 to 918 of the family's 1533-position model. The record is from RNAcentral.
AGAGUUUGAUCCUGGCUCAGAAUCAACGCUGGCGGCGUGCCUAACACAUGCAAGUCGAACGCGAAAGUGGAGCAAUCCAUGAGUAGAGUGGCAAACGGGUGAGUAACACGUGGGUGACCUGCCUUCGAGUGGGGGAUAACUUUCCGAAAGGAAGGCUAAUACCGCAUGACAUACCGUGUUCAGAUACACGGAUAUCAAAGCUGGGGAUCGCAAGACCUGGCGCUUGAAGAGGGGCCCGCGUCCGAUUAGCUAGUUGGUGAGGUAACGGCUCACCAAGGCUCCGAUCGGUAUCCGGCCUGAGAGGGCGGACGGACACACUGGAACUGAGACACGGUCCAGACUCCUACGGGAGGCAGCAGUGGGGAAUUGUUCGCAAUGGGCGAAAGCCUGACGACGCAACGCCGCGUGGAGGAUGAAGAAUUUCGGUUCGUAAACUCCUUUCGACCGAGAUGAACAUCCCGCGAUCUAAUAAGUCGUGGGACUGACAGUAUCGAGAGAAGAAGCCCCGGCUAACUCUGUGCCAGCAGCCGCGGUAAUACAGGGGGGGCAAGCGUUGUUCGGAAUUACUGGGCGUAAAGGGUUCGUAGGUGGCCAACUAAGUCAGACGUGAAAUCCCUCAGCUUAACUGGGGAACUGCGUCUGAUACUGGUUGGCUUGAGUGCAGGAGAGGAAUGCGGAAUUCCAGGUGUAGCGGUGAAAUGCGUAGAUAUCUGGAGGAACACCGGCGGCGAAGGCGGCAUUCUGGACUGUAACUGACACUGAGGAACGAAAGCCAGGGGAGCAAACGGGAUUAGAUACCCCGGUAGUCCUGGCCCUAAACGAUGAAUGCUUGGUGUGGCGGGUAUCGAUCCCUGCCGUGCCGAAGUUAACGCAUUAAGCAUUCCGCCUGGGAGUACGGUCGCAAGGCUGAACUCAAAGGAAUUGACGGGG